AAUUCGAUGCAACGCGAAAAACCUUACCUACCCUUGACAUGUCUGGAAUCCUGAAGAGAUUUGGGAGUGCUCGAAAGAGAGCCAGAACACAGGUGCUGCAUGGCCGUCGUCAGCUCGUGUCGUGAGAUGUUGGGUUAAGUCCCGCAACGAGCGCAACCCUUGUCAUUAGUUGCUACGAAAGGGCACUCUAAUGAGACUGCCAGUGACAAACCGGAGGAAGGUGGGGAUGACGUCAGGUCAUCAUGGCCCUUAUGGGUAGGGCUACACACGUCAUACAAUGGCCGGGACAGAGGGCUGCCAACCCCCGAGGGGGAGCUAAUCCCAGAAACCCGGUCGUAGUCCGGAUCGUAGUCUGCAACUCGACUGCGUGAAGUCGGAAUCGCUAGUAAUCGCGGAUCAGCUUGCCGCGGUGAAUACGUUCCCGGGUCUUGUACACACCGCCCGUCACACCAUGGGAGCGGGUUCUGCCAGAAGUAGUUAGCCUAACCGCAAGGGGGGCGA
Molecule: ribosomal RNA, 501 nt
Filed under: uncultured Roseateles sp.
Lineage: Bacteria; Pseudomonadati; Pseudomonadota; Betaproteobacteria; Burkholderiales; Sphaerotilaceae
Description: bacterial SSU rRNA
Rfam family: Bacterial small subunit ribosomal RNA
Source: RNAcentral